RNAcentral lists this long non-coding RNA (435 nucleotides) under Equus asinus (donkey). RNAcentral's name for it is "lncRNA (ENSEASG00005027139.1)". The record is from RNAcentral. Lineage: Eukaryota; Metazoa; Chordata; Mammalia; Perissodactyla; Equidae.
CAGCUAUUUUGAAUUGUCAGUUAGACCUCAGUAUUCCAUGCCUUUGGGUUCAGUUGCUGGAAUUAUCAUUUUCUUUUUUUAUGUCAUAUUUCCUUGAUUUUUUGUAGUGUUUGAGGAUAUGCAAUUCUACUUUCACAUUUGAAGUAGCAGUCCCCUUCUUUAACUAAGGAAUCAUUUAUUUCAAUCAUGAAGACACCUGGAAACUACGGGAAACUCAUCUCACUUUGUUGUAGUACUGAUUGCUAUCAAAGGUUUGCAGUUUUUUACCUGAGUGUCCUGUUUAUUUGUGAAGAAGCUAAAUGACAGCCUGGUUCAUUUUUGAAUUUUGUACGAGGAGUAGAGUUCACAUGUAGUGCUAACUUAGAAUUCAAGAGAUAUUUUCUUCUUGGAUGUUUGUCUUAUUUUGACAAUAUUAAAGUUUUGUUAUGAACAGUG